CCGGGGAAUGCGUGACCUG
Molecule: non-coding RNA, 19 nt
Filed under: Arabidopsis thaliana (thale cress)
Lineage: Eukaryota; Viridiplantae; Streptophyta; Magnoliopsida; Brassicales; Brassicaceae
Source: RNAcentral